RNAcentral lists this ribosomal RNA (619 nucleotides) under uncultured bacterium. Its description in RNAcentral is "bacterial SSU rRNA". It matches the Rfam family "Bacterial small subunit ribosomal RNA", at positions 9 to 526 of the family's 1533-position model. The record is from RNAcentral.
GAGUUUGAUCCUGGCUCAGGACGAACGCUGGCGGCGCGCCUAACACAUGCAAGUCGAACGGAGUUAUUUUCUUCACUCCGAGCUUUUUGCCAGUUAGCCGGAGCGGCAAUCGGUUUUGCCCAGCAUAAAAAGCAAAACCGAUUUAGGCUCAUAAAGUAAGGCUAACACAGAGGGCAGAGAGUUGGGAGUGAAGAAAAUAACUUAGUGGCGAACGGGUGAGUAACGCGUGAGUAACCUGCCCUGGAGUGGGGGACAACAGUUGGAAACGACUGCUAAUACCGCAUAAGCCCACGAUCCGGCAUCGGAUUGAGGGAAAAGGAUUUAUUCGCUUCAGGAUGGACUCGCGUCCAAUUAGCUAGUUGGUGAGGUAACGGCCCACCAAGGCGACGAUUGGUAGCCGGACUGAGAGGUUGAACGGCCACAUUGGGACUGAGACACGGCCCAGACUCCUACGGGGGGCAGCAGUGGGGGAUAUUGCACAAUGGGGGAAACCCUGAUGCAGCGACGCCGCGUGGAGGAAGAAGGUUUUCGGAUUGUAAACUCCUGUCGUUAGGGACGAUAAUGACGGUACCUAACAAGAAAGCACCGGCUAACUACGUGCCAGCAGCCGCGGUAAUAC